Molecule: transfer RNA, 82 nt
Filed under: Kushneria marisflavi
Lineage: Bacteria; Pseudomonadati; Pseudomonadota; Gammaproteobacteria; Oceanospirillales; Halomonadaceae
Also listed under: 1 other name
Rfam family: tRNA
About the family: Transfer RNA (tRNA) molecules are approximately 80 nucleotides in length. Their secondary structure includes four short double-helical elements and three loops (D, anti-codon, and T loops).
Source: Rfam by way of RNAcentral
GCGGGAGUGGUGGAAUUGGUAGACACGCUGGAUUUAGGUUCCAGUGCCGUAAGGCGUGAGAGUUCGAGUCUCUCCUUCCGCA